Molecule: non-coding RNA, 1153 nt
Organism: Nicotiana tabacum (common tobacco)
Lineage: Eukaryota; Viridiplantae; Streptophyta; Magnoliopsida; Solanales; Solanaceae
Source: RefSeq, a predicted model, not a curated record
UGCCUGUUUAGAAUAGAUUGGACUGUGUGACUCUGUAUGGGAAGUGGAGCUUCAAAUGGAUAAGAAUGGCGACACGUGUGAAGCCACCAAGAAGUGAAGAGACCACUUAUUGUAGCUAUGGCGACAGAAUAAAUUUAUAGCGGUGAUCGGCGACGGCUUCUGCUACCGGAGAAUCAGACGACUGAUUAAUCUGUUUGUGGGUCUUGCUAUUACUUUGCUGAUGAGGUCAUCGAUGGUGUUCCCCACUAGCUAGAGUCCUUAAAGGGUACGCAACUCCAAUUGUUUGGAGACAUCUAUUGAUGUAGACGAGGACCUACCUAUCUAGAGCUUGCAAAGUUGAUAGUACCGGAGAGCCCCUUGUUGGUUUGCGCAGGAGAAGAGUUUGCAGGAUUGAGAUGCUCAAAUAAAUUAGGAUUUCCAAAUCAUUGAAAGUAAUGCUGCAAAGGGCACUAGUAUUCACUCCAGAAGCUGCAUUGCCCUUACUGCUUCACUGGGAAGUGUGUUUUUUCCUGCAUUUUAGAAAUAAACCUUAGGAUGUUUCAGAAAAUGAGAUGUUUCAUUUUGGAGGCAUUUCCUCACUUGAAAUGCACUGUCCUUGAUCUUCCACAUGUUGCUGCUGACAUGCCAAAAAGUGAGAAUUUAAGCUAUGUAGGAGGGGCUAUGUUUCAAUCUAUUCCACAUGUUGCUGAUGCCAUUUUGCUUAAGCAAGUAUUGCACAGUUGGAGAGAUGAGGAUUGUGUCAAGCUACUGAAGAAAUGCAGAGAAGCUAUUGCAUUGACAUGGUGUUAAGACACAAACGAAGAUGAACCAGACAUGACUGAAGUAAAGCUCAUGUUUGACAUGUUGAUGGCAAUGGUUUUCACCGCAAAAGAAAGAACGGAACAAGAACUAUUCCUUGAAGCUGGCUUUACUCGUUACACCAAUCUUUGGCCUUAGGUCACUUAUUGAGGUGAGGAAAUGCCUCCAAAAUGGUCUUAGCUAUAGUCAGUCCCAACUAAUUUGGGAGUGAAAUGUAGUUGGUUAAUUUUUUUUUAUGUAUCCCUGCCCAUCUGCCCAGGAAGACGGGGGCAGAAACACAUUAGCAAAUGUAAUUUACUGAAUUGUUUUCUUACUUAACGAACAUCACAUGUUCAUGCUAUCACUUUUUCUUUCC